Molecule: ribosomal RNA, 560 nt
Filed under: uncultured bacterium
Lineage: Bacteria
Description: bacterial SSU rRNA
Rfam family: Bacterial small subunit ribosomal RNA
Source: RNAcentral
AUUGAACGCUGGCGGCAUGCUUUACACAUGCAAGUCGAACGGUAACAGGGUGCUUGCACCGCUGACGAGUGGCGAACGGGUGAGUAAUGCAUCGGAACGUACCCAGUCGUGGGGGAUAACGUAGCGAAAGUUACGCUAAUACCGCAUACGUCCUGAGGGAGAAAGCGGGGGACCGUAAGGCCUCGCGCGAUUGGAGCGGCCGAUGUCGGAUUAGCUAGUUGGUAGGGUAAAGGCCUACCAAGGCGACGAUCCGUAGCGGGUCUGAGAGGAUGAUCCGCCACACUGGGACUGAGACACGGCCCAGACUCCUACGGGAGGCAGCAGUGGGGAAUUUUGGACAAUGGGCGAAAGCCUGAUCCAGCCAUGCCGCGUGAGUGAAGAAGGCCUUCGGGUUGUAAAGCUCUUUCAGGUGGAAAGAAAACGCAUAGGUUAAUACCUUGUGCGGAUGACGGUACCAUCAGAAGAAGCACCGGCUAACUACGUGCCAGCAGCCGCGGUAAUACGUAGGGUGCGAGCGUUAAUCGGAAUUACUGGGCGUAAAGCGUGCGCAGGCGGUUAUG